This 65-nucleotide transfer RNA is filed under the name Cladiscus yunnanus. RNAcentral's name for it is "tRNA-Phe". Lineage: Eukaryota; Metazoa; Arthropoda; Insecta; Coleoptera; Cleridae. The record is from RNAcentral.
ACUUAAGUAGCUUAAAUAGAGUAUAAUAUUGAAGAUAUUAGGGUAAUAAAUUUUAUUCUUAAGUA